RNAcentral lists this small RNA (129 nucleotides) under Mytilus galloprovincialis (Mediterranean mussel). The record is from RNAcentral. Lineage: Eukaryota; Metazoa; Mollusca; Bivalvia; Mytilida; Mytilidae.
GUUAUUAACUAGUCCAGCCCUGGCCUUAGUGACUCAUUUUCUGUUUUUUUUUUUUUGUCACUGACAACAAAAAAAAAAUUAAAACAAAUAAAAUGAGUCACUGAGGCCAGGGCUGGACUAGUUAUUAAC